RNAcentral lists this unclassified non-coding RNA (378 nucleotides) under plant metagenome. RNAcentral's name for it is "partial contains 5.8S ribosomal RNA, internal transcribed spacer 2, and large subunit ribosomal RNA". The stretch from base 1 to 105 matches the Rfam family "5.8S ribosomal RNA", at positions 50 to 154 of the family's 154-position model. The record is from RNAcentral.
GAAAUGCGAUAAGUAAUGUGAAUUGCAGAAUUCAGUGAAUCAUCGAAUCUUUGAACGCACCUUGCGCUCCUUGGUAUUCCUUGGAGCAUGCCUGUUUGAGUCUCAUGAAAUCUUCAAAGUAAAUCUUUUGUUAACUCAAUUGGUUUCUACUUUGGUAUUGGAGGUCUUUGCAGCUUCACACCUGCUCCUCUUUGUUCAUUAGCUGGAUCUCAGUGUUAUGCUUGGUUCCACUCGGCGUGAUAAGUUAUCUAUCGCUGAGGACACUGUAAAAGGUGGCCAAGGUAAAUGCAGAUGAACCGCUUCUAAUAGUCCAUUGACUUGGACAAUACUUUUAUGAUCUGAUCUCAAAUCAGGUAGGACUACCCGCUGAACUUAAGC